Molecule: ribosomal RNA, 607 nt
Filed under: uncultured archaeon
Lineage: Archaea
Description: bacterial SSU rRNA
Rfam family: Archaeal small subunit ribosomal RNA
Source: RNAcentral
GGUUCGGCCCUCGGCUGACGGCUCAGUAACACGUGGAUAAUCUGCCCUUAGGUGGAGGAUAAUCUCGGGAAACUGAGGAUAAUACUCCAUAAAUCUAGGAUGCUGGAAUGCAUCUAGAUUGAAAGCUCCGGCGCCUAAGGAUGAGUCUGCGGACUAUCAGGUUGUAGUCAGGGUAAAGACCUGACUAGCCUACGACGGAUACGGGUUGUGAGAGCAAUAACCCGGAGACGAUAUCUGAGACACGAUAUCGGGCCCUACGGGGCGCAGCAGGCGUGAAAACUUCACACUGUGCGAAAGCGCGAUGAGGGAAUCCCAAGUGUUUGCUCGUAAGAGUAAACUGUUUCUUUGUUUAAAACGCAGAGAGAGUAAGGGCUGGGUAAGACGGGUGCCAGCCGCCGCGGUAAUACCUGCAGCUCGAGUGGUGAUCAUUAUUAUUGGGCCUAAAACGUCCGUAGCCGGCUUAGUAAAUGCCUGGGUAAAUCGUGUAGCUUAACUAUACGACUUCCGGGUAGACUGCUAAACUUGAGACCGGGAGAGGCUAGAGGUACUCCUGGGGUAGAGGUGAAAUUCUGUAAUCCUAGGGGGACCACCAGUGGCGAAGCGUCUA